GCCGUCUUAGCUCAGCUGGCAGAGCACUUGACUUGUAAUCAUGAGGUCUCCGGUUCAAUUCCGGAAGACGGCU
This 73-nucleotide transfer RNA is filed under the name Treponema sp. Its description in RNAcentral is "tRNA-Thr". It matches the Rfam family "tRNA". Rfam says of the family: Transfer RNA (tRNA) molecules are approximately 80 nucleotides in length. Their secondary structure includes four short double-helical elements and three loops (D, anti-codon, and T loops). The record is from RNAcentral. Lineage: Bacteria; Pseudomonadati; Spirochaetota; Spirochaetia; Treponematales; Treponemataceae.